AGAGUUUGAUCCUGGCUCAGAAUCAACGCUGGCGGCGUGCCUAACACAUGCAAGUCGAACGAGAAAGUGGGGGCAACCCUGCGAGUACAGUGGCAGACGGGUGAGUAACACGUGAACAACCUACCCUUGAGUGGGGAAUAACACCGCGAAAGCGGUGCUAAUACCGCAUAACAUCUUUGAUCCGCAUGGAUUGGAGAUCAAAAGCGCAAGUUGCUUGAGGAGGGGUUCGCGGCUGAUUAGCUAGUUGGUGAGGUAACGGCCCACCAAGGCAACGAUCAGUAGCCGGCCUGAGAGGGCGAACGGCCACACUGGAACUGAGACACGGUCCAGACUCCUACGGGAGGCAGCAGUGGGGAAUUUUGCGCAAUGGGCGAAAGCCUGACGCAGCAACGCCGCGUGGAGGAUGAAGGCCUUCGGGUCGUAAACUCCUGUCGAUGGGGACGAAAGCCCAGCAAUGGGAUUGACUGUACCCGUUGAGGAAGCCACGGCUAACUCCGUGCCAGCCGCCGCGGUAAUAC
Molecule: ribosomal RNA, 518 nt
Filed under: uncultured bacterium
Lineage: Bacteria
Description: bacterial SSU rRNA
Rfam family: Bacterial small subunit ribosomal RNA
Source: RNAcentral